Molecule: ribosomal RNA, 254 nt
Filed under: uncultured bacterium
Lineage: Bacteria
Description: partial 16S ribosomal RNA
Rfam family: Bacterial small subunit ribosomal RNA
Source: RNAcentral
UACGGGGGGAGCAAGCGUUGUUCGGAUUUACUGGGCGUAAAGGGCGCGUAGGCGGUCAGCACAAGUCAGUUGUGAAAUCUCCGAGCUUAACUCGGAACGGUCAACUGAUACUGUGCGACUAGAGUGCGGAAGGGGCAACUGGAAUUCUCGGUGUAGCGGUGAAAUGCGUAGAUAUCGAGAGGAACACCUGCGGCGAAGGCAGGUCUCUGGGCAUUAACUGACGCUGAGGAGCGAAAGCAUGGGGAGCGAACAGG